AACACAUACAACGUAAAGCUUGAAUUAUUGCUUUUUUAUUGACAUUUGAAAAAAAAUUUCUUUGAUCUCCUGUGAUCAGCUCGCAUUAAUGUGUAACGCAACACUUUUGUUAUGUUCUAUGUUUCACUGUUUAAUUUUUAAAAAUAUUUAGCAAACAUAAACAAUACAUCAUGUUUAAAAAAAUUAGUCUUACCCCACGACAGUCCUUUCCUUUCUUGUGACACUGGCCGUGCUUGUGACCGUCCUUGUGCUUGUGCUUGUGUCCGUGGCCCUGUCCAUGACCCUGUCCAUGUCCAUGUCCAUGUCCUUGGCACUGUCCGUGACCCUGUCCAUGUCCAUGUCCAUGUCCAUGUCCUUGGCACUGUCCGUGACCCUGUCCAUGUCCAUGUCCAUGUCCGUGGCCCUGUCCAUGUUCUUGGCUGGGACCAUAACCAGGUCCAUGUCCUUGGUUGGGUCCGUAACCAGGUCCAUGUCCUUGGUUGGGUCCGUAACCAGGUCCAGGUCCGUGUUGGCCUCCGUACGGGCCGUGAGGCCGAGGGGGGUAGUUCAUCGGUGCGGUACCUGGAGGAUGUUGAGGGUAUCCCCCAGGCAUCUGCUGAGGGUUGUUGGGGUAACCAGGAGGGUACUGGUUUCCUAAACACAAGG
Molecule: long non-coding RNA, 645 nt
Organism: Gasterosteus aculeatus aculeatus (three-spined stickleback)
Lineage: Eukaryota; Metazoa; Chordata; Actinopteri; Perciformes; Gasterosteidae
Source: Ensembl